AGAAAGAACGCUGGAACUGCUAAUUCCACAUUCCACGGCUAAGCGUGGCUUUCUU
This 55-nucleotide transfer RNA is filed under the name Geocapromys thoracatus. RNAcentral describes it as "tRNA-Ser". Lineage: Eukaryota; Metazoa; Chordata; Mammalia; Rodentia; Capromyidae. The record is from RNAcentral.